GAUGAACGCUGGCGGCGUGCCUAAUACAUGCCAGUCGAGCGAACAGACGAGGAGCUUGCUCCUCUGACGUUAGCGGCGGACGGGUGAGUAACACGUGGAUAACCUACCUAUAAGACUGGGAUAACUUCGGGAAACCGGAGGUAAUACCGGAUAAUAUAUUGAACCGCAUGGUUCAAUAGUGAAAGACGGUUUUGCUGUCACUUAUAGAUGGAUCCGCGCCGCAUUAGCUAGUUGGUAAGGUAACGGCUUACCAAGGCGACGAUGCGUAGCCGACCUGAGAGGGUGAUCGGCCACACUGGAACUGAGACACGGUCCAGACUCCUACGGGAGGCAGCAGUAGGGAAUCUUCCGCAAUGGGCGAAAGCCUGACGGAGCAACGCCGCGUGAGUGAUGAAGGUCUUCGGAUCGUAAAACUCUGUUAUUAGGGAAGAACAAAUGUGUAAGUAACUAUGCACGUCUUGACGGUACCUAAUCAGAAAGCCACGGCUAACUACGUG
Molecule: ribosomal RNA, 497 nt
Filed under: uncultured bacterium
Lineage: Bacteria
Description: partial 16S ribosomal RNA
Rfam family: Bacterial small subunit ribosomal RNA
Source: RNAcentral